This 571-nucleotide ribosomal RNA is filed under the name [Candida] boidinii. RNAcentral's name for it is "eukaryotic LSU rRNA". It matches the Rfam family "Eukaryotic large subunit ribosomal RNA", at positions 45 to 642 of the family's 3401-position model. The record is from RNAcentral. Lineage: Eukaryota; Fungi; Ascomycota; Pichiomycetes; Pichiales; Pichiaceae.
AAUAGCGGAGGAAAAGAAACCAACAGGGAUUGCCUUAGUAGCGGCGAGUGAAGCGGCAAGAGCUCAAAUUUGAAAUCUGGUACUUUCAGUAUCCGAGUUGUAAUUUGAAGAAAGUUAUCUUGGAGUUGGCCCUUGUCUAUGUUCCUUGGAACAGGACGUCACAGAGGGUGAGAAUCCCGUGCGAUGGGGUGCCCAUUCUAUGUAAGAUACUUUCGACGAGUCGAGUUGUUUGGGAAUGCAGCUCUAAGUGGGUGGUAAAUUCCAUCUAAAGCUAAAUAUUGGCGAGAGACCGAUAGCGAACAAGUACAGUGAUGGAAAGAUGAAAAGAACUUUGAAAAGAGAGUGAAAAAGUACGUGAAAUUGUUGAAAGGGAAGGGUAUUUGAUCAGACUGAUAUUCAGUUAACACUGUUCCUUGUGGAUGGUGCUCUAGCUUUUUAUUGGGCCAGCAUCAGUUUAGGUGGCAGGAUAAGAACUGUUGAACGUGGCUCUUCGGAGUGUUAUAGCUUCAGUUGAUACUGCCUAUCUAGACUGAGGUCUGCGGCUUGCCUAGAUGCUGCGAAGACUGCCGUA